UACGGAGGGUGCGAGCGUUGUCCGGAAUCAUUGGGCGUAAAGGGCGCGUAGGUGGCGGGACAAGCGUGCGGUGAAAGCUCGGGGCUCAACCCCGAGUCGGCCGUGCGAACUGUUUUGCUUGAGCACUGUAGAGGCAGGCGGAAUUCCGGGUGUAGCGGUGGAAUGCGUAGAGAUCCGGAAGAACACCGGUGGCGAAGGCGGGUCUCUGGGCCGAUACUGACGCUGAGGAGCGAAAGCGUGGGGAGCGAACAGG
RNAcentral lists this ribosomal RNA (253 nucleotides) under uncultured bacterium. Its description in RNAcentral is "partial 16S ribosomal RNA". It matches the Rfam family "Bacterial small subunit ribosomal RNA", at positions 524 to 776 of the family's 1533-position model. The record is from RNAcentral.